RNAcentral lists this ribosomal RNA (468 nucleotides) under uncultured bacterium. RNAcentral's name for it is "partial 16S ribosomal RNA". It matches the Rfam family "Bacterial small subunit ribosomal RNA", at positions 28 to 507 of the family's 1533-position model. The record is from RNAcentral.
GAUGAACGCUGGCGGCGUGCCUAACACAUGCAAGUCGAACGGAAAGGCCCGGCUUUUGCUUUUUUCUCGUUUGGCGAACGGGGGAGUAACACGUGAGUAACCUGCCCUUGACUUUGGGAGAACUUCAGGAAACUGGGGCUAAUACCGGGUAGGAUCUUCUGCUGCGUGGUGGGGGUUGGAAAGUGUCGGCGGUGGUGGCUGGACUAGCUGCUAAUCCGCUUGUUUGGGGGGUAGUUGCUUACGAAGGCUUAGACGGAUAGCCGGCCUGAGAGGGUGACCGGGCACAUUAGGCCUACGGUACGGACCAGAAUCCAAUGGGAGGCAGCAGUGGAGAGUCUUACACAAUGGGGGGAAGCGUGUUACAGAGAUGCCGGGUGCGGGAAGCCCGCCUUCGGGUUGUAAACCGCUUUCGCCUGUGACGAAGAGUGCGUGACGGUAAUGAGUCAAGAAGCAACGGCUAACUACGUG